CUUGCAGUUUAGACUAUGUAUUCCAUUUGAAGCUAAGCAGGUUUGGGCCUGCCCAGUACUUGGUUCGGAGACAAACUAGGAAAGCUGGAUUGCUGCUGGA
Molecule: ribosomal RNA, 100 nt
Filed under: Paramormyrops kingsleyae
Lineage: Eukaryota; Metazoa; Chordata; Actinopteri; Osteoglossiformes; Mormyridae
Source: RNAcentral